GGGACCGACGCAUUGACGGCGGUGCGACCGGUUGAAGCCCGGUGGGGCGGGGUUCGCCCCCCGCGGUCCCGC
RNAcentral lists this transfer RNA (72 nucleotides) under Microlunatus endophyticus. Its description in RNAcentral is "tRNA-Phe". Lineage: Bacteria; Bacillati; Actinomycetota; Actinomycetes; Propionibacteriales; Propionibacteriaceae. The record is from RNAcentral.